UUAUCAGGGACAUAAGAACACGACGGUGGUUGGAAC
Molecule: small RNA, 36 nt
Filed under: Arabidopsis thaliana (thale cress)
Lineage: Eukaryota; Viridiplantae; Streptophyta; Magnoliopsida; Brassicales; Brassicaceae
Description: ATSL119950
Source: RNAcentral